UGGGUGAUCUGCCCUGCACUCUGGGAUAAGCCUGGGAAACUGGGUCUAAUACCGGAUAGGACUACGGGCUGCAUGGUCUGUGGUGGAAAGCUUUUGCGGUGUGGGAUGGGCCCGCGGCCUAUCAGCUUGUUGGUGGGGUGAUGGCCUACCAAGGCGACGACGGGUAGCCGGCCUGAGAGGGUGACCGGCCACACGUGGGACUGAGAUACGGCCCAGACUCCGUACGGGAGCA
Molecule: ribosomal RNA, 232 nt
Filed under: uncultured bacterium
Lineage: Bacteria
Description: partial 16S ribosomal RNA
Rfam family: Bacterial small subunit ribosomal RNA
Source: RNAcentral